GAUGAACGCUGGUGGCGUGCUUAACACAUGCAAGUCGAACGAUGAAGCCCAGCUUGCUGGGUGGAUUAGUGGCGAACGGGUGAGUAACACGUGAGUAACCUGCCCUUAACUCUGGGAUAAGCCUGGGAAACUGGGUCUAAUACCGGAUAGGAGCGUCCACUGCAUGGUGGGUGUUGGAAAGAUUUAUCGGUUUUGGAUGGACUCGCGGCCUAUCAGCUUGUUGGUGAGGUAAUGGCUCACCAAGGCGACGACGGGUAGCCGGCCUGAGAGGGUGACCGGCCACACUGGGACUGAGACACGGCCCAGACUCCUACGGGAGGCAGCAGUGGGGAAUAUUGCACAAUGGGCGCAAGCCUGAUGCAGCGACGCCGCGUGAGGGAUGACGGCCUUCGGGUUGUAAACCUCUUUCAGUAGGGAAGAAGCGAAAGUGACGGUACCUGCAGAAGAAGCACCGGCUAACUACGUG
This 466-nucleotide ribosomal RNA is filed under the name uncultured bacterium. RNAcentral describes it as "partial 16S ribosomal RNA". It matches the Rfam family "Bacterial small subunit ribosomal RNA", at positions 28 to 507 of the family's 1533-position model. The record is from RNAcentral.